AGAUGGCAGCACCAUCAAGUAAAACAGCUGUUCGUCCCAGUGCCGCUGCCCGUCAUUUGUAAGCCGUGUGUUGGUGGGAGAACUUCGUGUUGUUGUUUGUGCCGAACGCGUCGCGCCGCUUGUUGUGAUAUAUACAACGUGACAGCCGCUGCUUUUCACCAUGAAUGAAGAGAACCUUCAUCUCGCCCAGGCUAUGGUUGGUAUGGAUUUAGAAGACCGGCCACAGUCUCCAAAGAAAACUGUCGUAGGAAGAGUGCAAGAGAAGCUUCAAGGUUUCAGAGAUAGCAGCGCCACACCAGUGUCGCCAGCGCGAAUCGAUACCACAGAUACUAUGGAGGGCUUCCUGCAGUCCGCAACAACCAAUGGGAGGCACUCCAGAAGACCACGCCUUCCUGUCAGCACAGCAGCACCGUCACGAUGAGGUCAAUAUAAUGUCGAACAUGCAAGAGCUCAGCCCAGGUCGUGACGUCAUCUGGAGGAGUCAACAUCGUAGUGUUGAACCAACAAGUUGUUAAAUUUUCUGAUAAACUUUUACUUUAGUAAAUGUUAAACAUUGUACCUCAAGAGAACAGUUUGUUAAUUAAUUCAUCAAGUGAUGCUUUGCUAG
Molecule: long non-coding RNA, 607 nt
Organism: Schistocerca nitens (vagrant locust)
Lineage: Eukaryota; Metazoa; Arthropoda; Insecta; Orthoptera; Acrididae
Exons: 3
Source: RefSeq, a predicted model, not a curated record